GACGAACGCUGGCGGCGUGCCUAAUACAUGCAAGUUGAGCGCUGAAGGUUGGUACUUGUGCCCACUGGAUGAGCAGCGAACGGGUGAGUAACGCGUGGGGAAUCUGCCUUUGAGCGGGGGACAACAUUUGGAAACGAAUGCUAAUACCGCAUAAUACCUUUAAACACAAGUUUUAAGUUUGAAAGAUGCAAUUGCAUCACUCAAAGAUGAUCCCGCGUUGUAUUAGCUAGUUGGUGAGGUAAAGGCUCACCAAGGCGAUGAUACAUAGCCGACCUGAGAGGGUGAUCGGCCACAUUGGGACUGAGACACGGCCCAAACUCCUACGGGAGGCAGCAGGAGGGAAUCUUCGGCAAUGGGCGAAAGGCUGACCGAGCAACGCCGCGGGAGGGAAGAAGGUUUUCGGAUCGGAAAACUCUGUUGGUAGAGAAGAACGUUGGUGAGAGUGGAAAGCUCAUCAAGUGACGGUAACUACCCAGAAAGGGACGGCUAACUACGUG
This 497-nucleotide ribosomal RNA is filed under the name uncultured bacterium. RNAcentral's name for it is "partial 16S ribosomal RNA". It matches the Rfam family "Bacterial small subunit ribosomal RNA", at positions 28 to 507 of the family's 1533-position model. The record is from RNAcentral.